RNAcentral lists this ribosomal RNA (484 nucleotides) under uncultured bacterium. RNAcentral describes it as "bacterial SSU rRNA". It matches the Rfam family "Bacterial small subunit ribosomal RNA", at positions 30 to 507 of the family's 1533-position model. The record is from RNAcentral.
AUUGAACGCUGGCGGCAUGCCUUACACAUGCAAGUCGAACGGCAGCACGGGAGCAAUCCUGGUGGCGAGUGGCGAACGGGUGAGUAAUAUAUCGGAACGUGCCCAGUCGUGGGGGAUAACGUAGCGAAAGCUACGCUAAUACCGCAUACGAUCUAUGGAUGAAAGCGGGGGAUCGCAAGACCUCGCGCGAUUGGAGCGGCCGAUAUCAGAUUAGCUAGUUGGUGGGGUAAAAGCUCACCAAGGCGACGAUCUGUAGCUGGUCUGAGAGGACGACCAGCCACACUGGAACUGAGACACGGUCCAGACUCCUACGGGAGGCAGCAGUGGGGAAUUUUGGACAAUGGGCGAAAGCCUGAUCCAGCAAUGCCGCGUGCAGGACGAAGGCCUUCGGGUUGUAAACUGCUUUUGUACGGAACGAAAAAGUCUGCCCUAAUACGGUGGGCUCAUGACGGUACCGUAAGAAUAAGCACCGGCUAACUACGUG